UAUGUCUGUUUUGUCUGCUGCUCUGUUCCCAGUGCUCAGCAAAAAAUAUUUCUUGUAAGAAUAAAUAAGUAUAUAUUCUGUCAAGGGCUCCAAAUCCAGGCCUGCUUGCUGCAGAGCCUGUGCUAUUGAGCCCCAGAGCUCUGUGAAUCUGAACACAUUUCUAGGAUGUGUGCAGAACCCCUGCGAGCCACAGUCAGCUGGAAAGAGCCACUCGGAGGGGAGGAACUGACCUCGGUGAGCCCAGGGGAGGGGAAGUAGGUUCCCUCUGGGAUCUGCCAAAGUAUGUAAUCUCCAGGGAACCUUAGAGGUCCCACCACGCACUGAUCCAGAUCUACAAUUGCUGUGACCUUGGGGCUUCAGAGCCUUGUACCACCCUGCCAGUCAUUCUGCGAGGACCCAGACAGACCUGUGAAGAGUGCUUUCGAUGGUCACUCCAAUCUGGAUUUACCCUCCGGCUCUGGGGCCCUCUCAGUGCUGCUCUGGAUGACCAAGCAUACUGCGCGAGGCCAACUGGGGGUGUGAGCGACUUCUUGCCGUUGUGCUGCGUGGCGGUCCUCCUCCCUACAGUGGUAAUCAUCAUGUAAUCUGCCUCAGGCAGGAUCAAGAGAUGGGAGAUGUCCAGAGCUUGUCUUUUAGAAGGUGUUCAAUAAAUAACAUUUUCCUGC
Molecule: long non-coding RNA, 665 nt
Organism: Bubalus bubalis (water buffalo)
Lineage: Eukaryota; Metazoa; Chordata; Mammalia; Artiodactyla; Bovidae
Exons: 2
Source: RefSeq, a predicted model, not a curated record